AGUAAUCACAGGUCAGCAUACUGUGGUGAAUACGUUCCCGGGCCUUGUACACACCGCCCGUCACACCNUGAGAGUUGAGAAUACCCGAAGCCCAUGUCAAAGUGGUCGAAGGUAGGCUUGAUGAUUGGGGUGAAGUCGUAACAAGGUAUC
This 150-nucleotide ribosomal RNA is filed under the name uncultured bacterium. RNAcentral's name for it is "partial 16S ribosomal RNA". It matches the Rfam family "Bacterial small subunit ribosomal RNA", at positions 1337 to 1500 of the family's 1533-position model. The record is from RNAcentral.